Molecule: ribosomal RNA, 822 nt
Filed under: uncultured Verrucomicrobiales bacterium
Lineage: Bacteria; Pseudomonadati; Verrucomicrobiota; Verrucomicrobiia; Verrucomicrobiales
Description: bacterial SSU rRNA
Rfam family: Bacterial small subunit ribosomal RNA
Source: RNAcentral
GAUGCAUGCUCGAGCGGCCGCCAGUGUGAUGGAUAUCUGCAGAAUUCCCCCUUAUGGGGCGCAGCAGGCGGCUCGGUGUGUCAGAUGUGAAAGCCCACGGCUUAACCGUGGAAUUGCAUUUGGAACUGCCGGGCUAGAGUACUGGAGGGGAGAAGGGAACACUUGGUGUAGCGGUGAAAUGGGUAGAUAUCAAGUGGAACACCGGAGGCGAAGGCGCUUCUCUGGACAGAUACUGACGCUCAUGGACGAAAGCUAGGGUAGCGAAAGGGAUUAGAUACCCCUGUAGUCCUAGCCGUAAACGGUGUGCACUAGACGUGGGUGGAUUUACCCCCAUCCGUGUCUGAGCUAACGCAUUAAGUGCACCGCCUGGGGAGUACGAUCGCAAGAUUAAAACUCAAAGGAAUUGACGGGGACCGGCACAAGCGGUGGAGCAUGUGGCUUAAUUCGAUGCAACGCGAAGAACUUUACUUGGACUUGACAUAUAGUUGCAUACGACCCGAAAGGGACGCAGCCUUCGAGGGUGCUAUACAGGUGGUGCAUGGCUGUCGUCAGCUCGUGCCGUGAGGUGUUGGGUUAAGCCCCGCAACGAGCGCAACCCCUGUGUUUAGUUGCCAGCACGUAAUGGUGGGAACUCUAAACAGACUGCUGGUGAAAACCAGAGGAAGGUGGGGAUGACGUCCAGUCAGUAUGGUCCUUAUGUCCAGGGCUGCACACGUGCUACAAUGGGCGAUACAAUAGGAGGCUAAGCCGCGAGGUGGAGCAAAUCCUCAAAAUCGCCCCCAGUUCGGAUUGGAGUCUGAAACUCGACUCCAUGAAGUCGGA